Long non-coding RNA from Neofelis nebulosa (Clouded leopard), 997 nucleotides. RefSeq lists it as uncharacterized. The transcript has 3 exons. The record is from RefSeq and is a predicted model, not a curated record. Lineage: Eukaryota; Metazoa; Chordata; Mammalia; Carnivora; Felidae.
GGCCAGAGAGGGUGACCAACCUGGCCCAAAUCACACAGCGAUGCAGCUUGGUCAUCCAGGCUCUACUCUGCCACGCUGCUUCUAGACCCAGAGGACCUUCAAUGUUUUCAGGUUACAGUUUUCCAUUAGUGGUCAUCGAUCCUGACCUCUUUCUGUAACGGAUGGAGAAAGGUCACUUUUCAGAAGAAGAAACCCAAGACCCAAGUGUGAAUUGGUGCAGAGGCAAAGAGACCUGCCCAGCGUCACCCAGUACAGCUCAGAGUUCCAAACGUAUCACUUCUUGUCAUCUCGCAGCCCCUGGAGUACCAGGAAAGGAUUAUUUCUCCACCUUAUAGACGAUGAAAUGGAAGUCCGGAGAAGUGAAAUGAGCUUCCUGAGCUCACACAGCAAUGGCAGAACUGGGGCGGAAUCAGGCCUCCUGGGUUACAUGGUGAAACAGACACGGGCAAUCUGACCCCAAUGGAAGACCCACACCGCAGUGCAGACUGGGCCUCCCAUCCUGCCUCCUUCCUCUGUUAUCCCUUUCCCUGCCUCUCAUGCAGUCACUCAACAGGUAUUUUCGAGUACCUGCUCAUGUUCCAUGUCCAGCUUCUUGCCCUCCCUUCCCUACUAGGGUCUGCCAAGGCCCCUCCAAAACCUGGGUGGAUCUCUGGGUCUCUGGCUCCCCCUACUUAGUCCACCCGCAUUACCUCAGACCACAAGACGUCUCUAGUCACAGACUCCUGGCUCUUAGAUGCCCGAGGACAUCAUUUUAAAGGGCUUUAGGGGGGGCGCCUGGGUGGCUUAGUCAGUUGAGCAUCCAACUCUUGAUUUCAGCUCAGGUCAUGAUCUCGUGGUUCGUGGACUCCAGCCCCACAUGUGUCAUCACGGAGCCUGCUUGGGAUUCUCUCUCCUCCUCUCUCUGCCCCUCCUCCCCUGCUCACUUGCUCUCUCUCUCUCUCAAAAUAAAUACAUAAAAAUUGCUUAAAAGUUAAAAAAAUAAAAAUUAAAGAGUUUA